RNAcentral lists this long non-coding RNA (544 nucleotides) under Androctonus crassicauda. The record is from RNAcentral. Lineage: Eukaryota; Metazoa; Arthropoda; Arachnida; Scorpiones; Buthidae.
GGAAAAUAAUAGUUAUGAGAUCACUAUCAUGUCUCUGUGUCUUCCCAUUAAUAACUUUUGAACUAAUUAGUAUAUUUUCAUGAAAUUUUAAUAAUAAUGGUCUACCUUUAAAAGUCAUCUUGAUACUGCAUCAAUUAACUCUCUAGCUAACUAUUUAAAAAUGGUGGACAUUCAAACCUCUGAGAUAUUUUCUUAAUAUCCUAAGACAUGAUUCCCAAAUGGUAUGGCACAAGAGGAUGGCAAGUGUGGCAGAAGAUUCAAAAACAAUCAAUGAUUUGGAGACAUUUUCAAAAAUUUAUUUGCUAAAAGUAAAUAUGAAGGUUAUGAAGUUGCAACAUGCUAAACAUUCCUCUGAGAAACCAAGUUUUAUUCCGGAUUCCAAUUUUUCAGGAAGAGUCUGGGCUCAGCUUAUUGAAAUUCAUCCUUCAAUGUUUUGGUGAAUUCCGUCAAGGGUAAUGUUAUCCCAUAAUAGAUACAGAAAUGGUCACUGUAUUAUCCUGUAUAAAGUUCAGCUGUGCAAUAGAAUUAAUCAACCAAUUCAAAA